RNAcentral lists this long non-coding RNA (11269 nucleotides) under Cricetulus griseus (Chinese hamster). RNAcentral describes it as "lncRNA (ENSCGRG00015030112.1)". The record is from RNAcentral. Lineage: Eukaryota; Metazoa; Chordata; Mammalia; Rodentia; Cricetidae.
CAUUCAUUCAUUCAUUUUUAUUCUUCUUAGGUUUUAUUUGUUUUAUAUGUGUGUGCGCUUGCCUGUGUGUGUUUAUGUACAUCACAGGAGUGCCAUGUCUGUGAAGCCAGAAGAGAAUGUUGGAUUCCCCUGGCACUGGAGUUACAGGCAGUUGUGAGCUGCUUGCUAUAUGGGUGCUGGGAACUGAACCAGGGUCUUCUGCAAGAACAGUCAGUGCUCUGACCGACUAAGAGCUCUUACCCAUUAAGCUAUCUUUCCAUGGAUUCCUCUCCAUCUUAAAGAUGAGGAAAGUGAGAGUCACAACAGCUAUGCACUUUACCUUAGGUGACACAGAGAAGAAGCUGAGGCAGUGGUCAAAGCCUUGUCCAGCAGCAGCAGGCCCUCUCCCUGUGCUGAGACCAGAACGUCAGCAGUUUAGUUCACUCCUCUGUCUAAAAAGGUAUUAUAGAGAGCGUUUACCUUGUUUUCUCUCUCUCAAAACCCAAGUGUUCUUUGUUCCAGGUUGCUUUUGCCUUACAUGUAGUCCCUGAAGGAUCAUAAUUUCCUGGGUGGCUACAGAAUUCUCUUCUCUGCUACAGUAUAGAGGUCCAAACCCCAGUUUUCCUGCUUAUUGGAGCACAUACAUCUCAUAUGUCAAAGGCCUAAAUUCCAGGCAAGCCGGUGAUAAUGCCCCAGUCAUCAGAUUUGAAACCAAAUUUCAGCAAAGACAUUUGCUGCCAGAAAGCAAAUUAGCCCUUUCUUUUCUCUGUCAUUUUUUCCCACCCAAACAUAACAUCCUCUUAUGAAAUAUGUCCGAUCUGCAAUAUUUGCUUUCCCUUAUUUAAUAACAGGAAAGGCUUUGCUGCACUUUUGUUGAUUUUUGCAUUUCUUAUUAAAAUUCUUAAGGGGGUUUUGGGGGAACUUAAUCAGCAAAAAAAGGAGGAGAGAAAAAAAAUUCCUCAUGUGCGGUCCCCAGGACUUGCAAACGGAGGAAGCACGCUGUUUGUUUAAGAGCUGCUGAUGGGAGAAGCAGCUGGCCACGUGUUCCGGAACCUUCCUCAGACUCUUCCUUCUCUGAGCGCCUUUCUCAGCUGUCUACAGAGCAGGGCAAAUGCCAAGAACGUGGAGCUGGCGUCCAUGCUUCUUGCCUGGCUGGGGUGGAUAUAGAAAUUCAUGGAACACCUAGCAUGCUUGCUACAGGAGGCCUCAGUUUCCCCUUUUUGCUUUGGCCAGCACCUCUUGUCCAAUCUCUCUUCCCAUACGGCCUGCUGUCCUAGGGACUAAGAGGAAAGGGCUUGCAGUAGUCACAUACUCUCAGGGACAGUAGGUGAUCCCUAAUUGUAACUUGCUGUAUGUCACACAGCUGUAGGGUAGCAGAGCUCAGCGUCCUGAGCUGUACCCUCCUGGUCAUCACAUGUGUUUAUUUCACUGCAUGGUCUCGCCAGGGCCACAUAAGGCUUUGUGUGACAGAGUAGAUAUACCAUAUCCUUAGGCUUUAAAAUUCUGCCCCAGAGAGGUUGUGGCUACCACCCUUGCUUCCUGAUUGGGGGGCUUCAAGUUGCUUCAAGAUUUUAGUUUUUAUAUUUACAUUCUAGUAGAAAUGAUUAUAUUAAAAUUUUAAAGUUGCAUUUAUUUAUUUGUGUAUCUGUAGGUGUGUGUGGGAGUGCUCACGUGGGAGGCCAGAUGACAUCUUUUAGGUGCUGGUUUUCCUCUUCUAGCCGAUCGGUGCAGGGUACUGAACCCCGAUAGUCAGGCUUGAUUGCAAGUGCCUUUAUCAGCUGAUGCCCUCUCACCAGCCCAGGAAAAUUGUAUUUCUAAGCACUGUUACGAUGUCAUUGUACUAUUAUUAUAACGUAUGCAUGGUUCGUCAUCAGAAGACCCCUUUACAGAGUCAGCAUCCCUGUCUCUUCCACAGAUGAGGAGCCAGGUCCAGACAGGCCAAAGGAUCUGACAACCAAAGCUGUGGUAGACCAGAAUUGGAAUCUAAGUCUCUAAGCCUGGAAAGAAAAGUUGGGGCCAUGUGAAGGGCUUCACCUGGUGUUCUUAGGAAUUUGGAUCUUUAUACAAAGGGACACCUGGAAGGCUUCAGGGGCAGUGAUUCAGCCUGGUUUGGACUGUGGAGGCCGGGGGUGGAGAACAAACCAGAGGGCCCAGGGCCCUACGGAAGAGGCUGUUCUUUUAGGAGCUGCAGGCAAGAGGGCCCCAGGGUUGCCCACCCCACAUCCUGUUUCCUCCCACCUCCUCUAUACUCACCCUCCUCCUAGAGUCCCUCUCUGGUUCCUCCUCUCUCUGUGGUGGUGGGAUUUGAACCCAGAACUUCAUGCUUGUCAGGCUCUUCUCAUUCUUCCCUCCUCACUUUGUGUGCUCAAGGCUUCAGUCAUAGUGAGUCUUGACCUUGCGUAGGUCAGAGAGCUGUCUGAAGACUCAGGAAAGGAAAUCUACAGGCUCUGUGCACAACUGCUUUGUGCAAGGAACCCGGCGUCAGGUUUCACAGACCCCAACACUACUUUUGCUUUCGAACAACCAGGAAGACAGGCACCCCAAAGGUAUCAGCUGUGCUUUGUAACUGUCCUGGGAAUGGGUGUGCAGCUGAGGAGGCAGAGAGGGCCAAGUUUGUCCUCUGAGCGGUCAAAUGACUGGCUUGGAAGAGAUGCUAGAUUGACAUGAGUUCCAGGCCAGCUUGGGCUACAGAGUGAGACCCUGUCUUUAAGCAACAAAACCAGAAGGAAAAAAAAGGGGAGCGGGGGUGUGCUAGACCAGAGAGAGCCCUAAGUGAUUGGUUGCUAUCCUUUUUCUCCUUCCCUCCCUCCUCUGUCCCUCUCUGGCUCUGUUGUUCAGGCUAUUCUCAAACUCUCCGGCUCAAGUCAACCUCCUGCCUUGGCCUUUUGUACAGCUAGGACGACAGGGGUCUGCUCAGAGCACAGUAAUAUCUGUUUGUCCUUCUUAUUCUUUGACCGAGUCCUGUGUAGCUCAGGUUGGCUUUAAACUCUUUAUAUAGCUGGGCAUGCAAGAGAGCAGCAGAUGGAGGCAGGGAGGUCCCCCGUGCCAUUAGCCACCAGAGUCUCCUCAACAGUCCCUCCCAAGCCUCCUGCUUACCAAGCAUCACUCUGAUUUGAUUUGGCUUUCUGUGGACUGUUCCUACAGGGAGCUCAAGUGUUGGCAGCAGGACAUAUGUAUCUGGUCCCUUUGGCAGUGAUAUUUUCACUGUAAAUUAGUAAAUUGGGAACAGAUAAUCCACAGAAGAAGCCACGGAAAUGACUAAUAUGUAACAUAAAAAUUCUUCCUCUCUAGGAUUCAAGGAAACAUAAAUUCAAAUCCAAACACAGAUUGUCUCCAAUCUCCUUAACCACAAAAGAUGGAUUUGUUUGUUUUUUUUUUUUCACCAGGUAGCCUUGGCUGGUCUGGGACUCAGUUUGUAGACCAGGCUGGCCUCAAACUCACAGAGAUCCACCGGCCUCUGCUUGCUGAGUGCUGGGAUUAAAAGCGUGCGCCACCACAUCUGGCAACUUCUAUUUUUUUUUAAAGUUGUAAAAAAAAAUUAAAAAAUAUAAUAAAUAAAAUAAUAAACAAAGAAAAGGAAGUAUGUAAAGCAAGAGCAGCACAGAGGGGGAGGGCCUGAAGAGGGUAGAGGCCCCUGGAGCUGGAGUUACAGGCAGUUCUGAGUCACCUGAUAUGGAUGCUGGGAACCAAAUGCAGGCCUUCUGGAAAAGCAGUGUGUGCUCUUAACCCCUGAGCCAUCUCUCCAGCCUCAAGCCUUUUACAUUUUUCUACAUUUUUUUUUAAAGACAGGUUUCUCUGUGUAGCCUUAGCUAUUCUGGAACUUGCUCUGGCCUCCAUCUCAGAGAUCUGCCUCCCCCUGCCUCAGUUCUGGGAUUAAAGACUUGUGCCACCACAGCUGGCCUCAAGACUUUUUUUUUUUUUUUAAGUCAAAACAUAUUGCUAUGAAGGGCAGGUGUAAGGGGCACACUCGUGCUCAGCUUAUGGGAGAUCUUUGCUGCCUGCAUGGCCCUGGAACAUUGGGUCUCAUCAUGCAGGGUCUUUUGGUUUCUUUCCUUAGGUAUGUUUGCAGGGCUAGGGAUGGAACCCAGGGCCCCUUGCAUGCCAGGAAGGUGUUCUGCAUUCCCCUAACUCCCGACCCGAGCUACGGUCCAGUCUCUUUUGGUGAAAUUCUUUAGGCUUCUACAGAGUCAGUUGAGACACAGUCAUCUGCCAGAGAAUAGCUGAAGGGGGCUUUGGAGAAGGCUCAUUGGGCAAGUACACAAGACUGAAGAACUGAGUUCAGGUCUCCAGAGCCCACGUAAAAGCGAUGGCCUAAAUGGUUGUAAUCCCAGCAUCCACAACCAGGAGAUGGAAAGUGGAGACAGGAGAAUGGAGGGAAGGCCAGCUAGUCUGGCUUGUGCAAGAACAAAGCGGGGAGCAACACCUGAGGUUUAGCCUUUGGCCUCUAUUAGUGCACUGUGGCAUGAAUGUGCCUACACCCCUAUACAAGAGCACACACACUUGUGUGCAUACACAGAACAGUCAUAGGAGCCACUUCCUGGAUUUGCUUCCAAAGGUUUACUGAACACCUACUGUGUGCAAAGCUUACAAGACACAAGAAGGAGAUGGGACCACAUAGAUGGGGGCGGAGGGGUGGAGAUCACUUCCUGGGUGUGGUGGAAAGGGGAAUGGACGGGAAGGAGAUGGUGAAGUCAGCCCCUCCCUUACUGGUCCCCAGGCUUGUCCUACUUGGGCAAACUGAGGCUCAGGUGGCACCCAGAGGCCUCCUGUAGCCAUCAUCUUCAGUGCGGCUGAUCAAAAGGGCCUGGGUCUAUUUAUAGCAUUUUUAAAAGCUCACCAGGAGUUUCAAUUGUUUAGUGUGGCCAGAGAACCAUGAAGAAAACAGAAAACUGACAAACUCAGGGCAAGGUGCUGGAUAAGACAGGGUAUAGGGCCACACACAGCAGGUCCAGGAGCUGGCUUGCAAGACUGCAGCCAAAUACCAUCUUGCUAAGCACUGGUUCAUUUUGGAAAAUGUUGUUUGAAUUCAUUAAAAACGUGUACAGGUGUUUUGUCUGCCUGUAUGUCUGUGUACCACAUGUGUGCUUGUUGCCUGUGGAGGUCAGAAGAGGGCAUCGGAUCCCAGCACUGGAGUCACAGAAGGGUUGAGAGAUGUCAGGUGGGCGCUGGGAAUUGAAUCUGGGUUCUUUGCAAGAGCAGCCAGUGCUCUUCAUUGAUGAAGUCUAUCUUUCUAGACUCCUGCAUUAAUUAAUUUUUAAAUGGACAAAAAAUGCUUGUAUCUACUUAAGGGAAAAAGGGUGGCAUUUUGGUCCACCCUGGAAUGGUCACUCAAGAGAGAGAGGCCACCCAACCUCACCAAUGUUUAUUCUAUCUUCUAGCCUCAUUCCUUCCCUCCUCCCCUCUUCCAACCCUCCCCCUCCCUCUCUUUCCUCUUUCUGAGACCUUCUCAUUAGCUGGCUAAUGAGCAGGUGCAGAUGACCUUAAACUUGUGAUUUUCCUGCUUCUAUUUCCCAAGUGAUGGGAUUGCAGGUUUUGUGUCUCACACCUGGUUAGUGCAGUGCUAGGGACAGAAUCCAGGGCGUCAAGCAUGCUAGGCAAGUGUUCUACCAACUGAGCCACAUCCCCAGCGCCAGAGUGAAAGUACACCCCCUGGCUCCUUCUGGAAUUCAGGGAAUUCCUGUCCUUCCCACAGUAAGGAUAGGGAGAUCCUAGCCUAAGAACUGCAGUCAACGUAGUAAGGACUCCUAACUGAAGAUCUCAUGAGGUGAGCUGAUUUCUCAAUGCUGGGUCUCACAGUGGUAAAGACAACAUUCAAGAGUGUUCCUCAGAUUUAAUUCUACAGGAGCCCGCUGCUCAUUAGCUUUGUGACUUCAGGCCAGUGGCUUGGUCCCUCUGAGCCUCAUCAGUUUCCUGGUUCCUACCCCACUUGACUUGGAGGGACAGGUGGGGUUAUGAUAGUGAAAGCCCCCAGCACAGAACCUGGCUAGUUAAGUCCUCUGUGACUGGUGGUUUGGGCUUCACCCAGCCAGGAGGAUCCCUUCCCAUAAUAGCUAGCCUCAUUCCCUUCUGGAGCUUUCCCCACUGCACAUGGGCUGUGUAGUGUAGCUACUAGUGUGUAUCUUACUGAGGGCCUAUGCCACAGUCUGUAGAUGUUUGGAGGACAUACUGAGACCCAAUAGUACUUCUCCUCCCCUCCCCCCAUAGAUAAGAAAAAGCAAAGCUCCCAGAGGGUGGGGGUAGCACUGAGGUUGUGCACUCACAGGGCCACCAGAGCCCUGGUCCCCUACUUCUAGUAGGUCACCCCUUUCUAGCCCCGGAAGGCCCACUCUGCCAGAUUCCUUGACAGUGCCCUCUACCAGGUAAACCUUGAAGGAGGAGAGAGCCCUCAAAGUGUUGAGGUGGGGUGCCGAAGGACCCGGUGAGUGGGGGGCAGAGGUGCGGCUGGGCUAGUGAGUUGAUUACCGGUUGACUAGGUGACUCAUUUGUACCAACAGGCUGGUGAGACAUAGAGAAACCCCGGUACAGGAAGAUGAAGUAGGAUAACAAACCCAGAGGUUCUUUGAAAACAGUCAACUUGCCUCAGAGUUGGGCCCCUGGCUGCUAUUUGCAGAACUCAAAAGCUGCUGUGACCCCAGGCACAGUGACCCCCAGUACAGGGUGGCUGGAGCUUCAUCUCGCUCACCUGACAGAUGGGGAUAGGACCUCACUGCUUCCCCCCCCCAUCCUUGGGGUGGGUUUGAGACUCCAACACCCCUUGUGUGGUACUACGGUGUAUUUGCACAGAACCUGUGUACAUCUUCCCGAGAUCUUUAAAUCUACUCUGGUACAUCAAAUGCUGAAUGAGCGCACAUGCUGUGGAGAUGGAAAAUCUGCUGUGUUUAGGGAACAACAUGGAAAAAUAUCUGUGCAUAUUCAGCACAGAUGCCAUCCUUUGCCCUGAAUAUUUCCAAGUCAUGCUGGAUGGAGAAACUGUAGAUAAAGAAGGCCACCCAAGGAGUGCUACCUCACUGGCUCGUUCUGAGGAUAAAAGGACAGAGUGUGAGCCACAUGUACAGGGCCUGGCUCCUGACAGGAGAGGCGGGCCUUCUCUUAAGCCUACUCUGGCUCAUAGCACCCUCCAAGCUUCUCCCCAGCAUCCCCCAGCUUGGGGAUUUGCUGGGUGGAAAGGUGCUCCCUCAAAGAACAUGCCUUGUGGCCAUGGCAGCCUGGGAUCCGCAGGCAGUUUAGGCCGUGUUUGCUUUUGUGCCUACUGGACCCUUUCCUUAUGGAGAGUCAUAGAGGACCCCAGGGGAGUUCAGGAAGGCAGAAGCAGCCUAGAGCUGUUCUGGUCUCGCUAUCAGAAAACUGUGCUGCCUCCGUGCUGGCACCUGAGCGGCACAGUUUGUUUUCACAAAUUCAGCCAGAUCCUCUGUGCCAUUGUGACUUUUUUUUUUUUUUUAAUACAGCUUUCUGUUUGUUUUGCAUCUAGGCUGUGAUACAGAUGAAAUGAAUGACAAUCCACAUUAGCCACAGGCUGAUAAACCCCCCUGGAAUGUUUGCUGAAAAGCAAGGCAGGGGAGGUUGGUCCAUGGAGGAGCCCUAUCACCAGCCAUCAGCAAGGGCCAGACCUGAUGGAGGCUGGGAGGCAUGUCUGGCAGCCUAGAGACCUUGAGAGCUUUCUGGGCGCCUCCAGCCUGCUCAUGGUGAGGCUGGGGAGCCAGUCUCGUGUGUGUGUGUGUGUGUGUGUGUGUGUGUGUGUGUGUGUGUGUGUGUGUGUGUGUGUGUGUUUGUGUGUGGUAGCAUCCCUACCACAUCCAUGACCUUGGCAUUAAAGUGAAACUCCUUUGUGUAGAAUGGCACGAACUUUAACAAGGAGUUAACAUCAUCAAAUGGCCUGAAUAGGGCUGUAAAAGGGAGCCCAGAUGAAACUUUCUUGAAUGGAUAAACACUUUUGUGUAAGUGGGAGGUAGAUUAAGUUCUGGAACUGCCCUGGCCCUCUCCAUUUCCCUCACUCUUGACACUCCUCCUCCUGUUUUCUUUGUGGUACUGGAGGUGGGCUCCAUGGCCUUUUACAUGUUAGGCAAGUGUCCCAUCACUAAGCUACAUCCCAGCCUCUGACGGAGUUUUCUUAAGUCAGGAAGUUCAGGAAAGACUUCAAAUAGGCAACAGAACCUAAUAUUUUUCCAUAUUGACAAUCCCCAACCAACCAACCAACCAACCAACUAACCAACCAGUUGAACCAUUCACCCACCAACCCACCCACCCACCAACCAGCUGAAUCACACACCAACUAACCAGAUGAACCACAAAUAAACCACCCAACCAACUAUACAAUCAACCAAUCAAACAAUUAGACAACUAAUGGAACAACCAACCAACCAACAGGCUGAAUAAACAAUCCACUAACUAACCAACCAACGGAUCAACCAACCAACCAAUGGAAUAACUAACCAACUGAACCACCAAUUAUUCUAGUAACUGAGUCACACCAACCAAUUAACCAACCAACCCAUUGACCAACCAACUGAAUCAUUAACCAAUCAAUGAACCAACCAACCAAGCAUGCAAGCAACUAGGUAGCCAACAACCAAGAGGUAAAACCACUAACCUAAAUAUUUGCUGGGUUGAAAAGAAAUCCCUUCUUCCUGUGUUUCUGUUCAUGGUCGUCAACCCUACCCGCAACUGAGGAGUAAUGUUAAUUGCUCCUUAGACACCCUCUCUGCUGGGCCAUCCCACCAUUGCUUUCUGCCAUUCCUCUAGAUCCUCUAGAUGUUGCUCUGUAGGGCACCUCUGUCCCUUGCACUGUGGCCCACGGGCUCCUCAUCUGUAGCCAGUGGCACAAACUGCACGGCUGCAGAGUCACAGACUGAAGGGUCCAGUCCCAGCUAUCUGACUCCUGGGAAGCCCUGUCUGUUCUGGUCCCUCACUUUUCCAGGUGGAGAUCACCCACCUGGGUCCAAGCAGACAGUAAAUUCCCUGGGUUCUUUGCCCCGAGCUCCAUUCCUACCACCACAUUAUGCUGUCAAGGUACUGCACACUUGUAAUCCCAGGACUUGGGAGGUGUAGGUAGGAAGAUUAGGGGUUCAGGGCCAUCCUUGACUACAUAUUGAGUUUGAUGCCAGUCUAGACUCCAUGAGACACUGUCUCAAACAAAACAAAACAAAACAAGCAACAAAAACAAAGGCCAUACCCACAGUCACUGUCUAUCAGUGGCAGAAAGUCAGGUGAAGCAAAAUCAAGUGUGUGGGGUUGGGAGGGGAGGUAUUGUGGGGAGGGUGACUGUGCAGUCCUAGGCUGGCUGCCUUUGUUUUUUUUAGCAGCCAGAAUCUCUUGGCCACUUGUCUUUGAUAUCCUUUAAUUAGUCUUCACACUUGCCACUAUGGGUCAUGGUCUCUAGGAAGUGUCCCGGACACUGCCUGGACCCACUGUAGUUCCUAGAAGCCACUGCUCAGGAGUCCCUCCCACCUGACCUGGGCUGCAAAGGAGCUUCGCUGGCUGUGCACUGACCUUGCCUUCCCCCACAGACCCGAUACUAAAUAAGUAUAUUAUUUACAAAAUAUCGCUAUCGCCUAGAAAAUAUCUCCCCAGGAAGAAUUAAACAGUGACACAUUAAAACCUUUUAAAAUGCAGGCAUGCAUAAGCUGGCAUGGGGCGCUGGCCACACAGACCCAGUAGACAAACAAGUUAAUGGGCUUCCAGGCAAUGCUGGCUCUAUUCAAAGAUAGAGACUGUACAUUUGAGCCUAUCCUAGAGCCCUGAUGCUGGGACAGCUUGCUCAGUUGCUGUUGGAGGAAGGAAUGCUGUCUAAGGCAGUGAGGGUGAUUUUGGAAAACUAGAGUAGGGCUGGGAAGGUAGUUCUAUCAGUAGUGCAUGGAAGAGGAUCUGAUUUCAAUCCCCAGAACCCACAUCUAAAAAACAAAACAUUUAGGCGUGGAGGUAUAGGUUUGUAAUCACAGCGUCUGGGAAGGCAGAGACAUGCAGAUCUCUGAGGCUGUCUCAGUCAGCUUUACCUACAUGGUGAGCUCCAGGCUAGUGAGAGAUGAUGUCUAAAAACAGAAAAAGUAAAAAAAAAAAAAAAAAAAAAAAAAAAAAAAAAAAAAAAAAGAUGGCCAGGUGUGUGGUAUAUGACUUGAAUUCCAGCACAUUUGAAGCAAAGGAAGGCAGAUCUCUGUGAGUUUAAGUUCAGCCAUCCUGGUCUACAUUUCAAGGUCCAGUUCAGAUAAGGUGAUGGAGAAGAAGGAGGAGAAAAGGAAGAGAAAAAAGAAGGGGAAAGGGUGGGGAGUUAACUCCUAAAGAACAAAACUCAAGAUUGACCCUCUGGCCUCCACAGACAGACAGACAGACAGACAGACAGACAGACAGACAGGCACUCACACACACACACACACACACACACACACACACACACACACACACGAUCCAACAGAAAAAGUCCAGAGCAGAAGGCUUGAAACAGGUUGAAAAUGACCACUGGAGUCUGUACAACCUUUGACCUCUACAGUCUCACUCAACCCUGGAAAGUCAGUUACUGCCACAUUCUUACCGAUGGGGGGAGCAGAGGUUCAGGGGCAGCAUGGCCUCCAGGGUAUGACCCAGCCCAAGCCCUGACACCCUCACCUCUCCCCGACUAUGUACAGCUCUUUCCCCAGCUCCACACACCUUGCCUGGGUUUUGAGGAAACUUCCAGCCUCAGAAUAGCGUUCUGUAUUAAAGAAGGUUUUGAAGGAGAAAUUGGAGGGCAUCAGUCUCUGCCACUUCCUGUAGGUAGAGUUCAUAAGGAGGUCAGUACUAGGCCUGCAAACACCUCUUCCAGGCCUCUCUCUCUCCAGUGAAUAACUCUGCUUGCUAGGCUACCCUGCUGCAGGCUGGGAGCCUGGUGAUGAAAGCAGACAAAAGCCUUAUCCUGUUAAGCUCCUGGUAUGAAUCUAAGGGAGCAUAGGAGAUGCUAUGAUGCACAGGGCAUGUGUGGAAGCAGAGGAGAAAGUAAUGUUUUGGACGAUGGUUUAGGGCUGUCUUUAUAGAAAGUGGAACAUUCGAGCUGGGCAAUAAGGCGGUGGAUAUAAUAUCAUUGGAAUAUUCCAGAAAGAUGUGAGAGCAUGAGGCAAUCGGUAGAAAUCAUGCUAUGGUUAGGGACCUGCCAGUGCUGGAACGAGACUGUAGUAUGGUGGCAGAAAGCUGGUUAGCUCAGCAGUGACCAGGACGCAAGGAAGCUUGAGGGCUUAAUUAAGGUGUCUGGGCUAUUACUUGGGAGCACUGGAGCAUGUGUGUGUGUGUGUGUGUGUGUGUGUGUGUGUGUGUGUGUGUGUGUGUG